UAACCUAAAACCCUGUUAUUCGCCGACCGUGUUUCCAAGAUCGGGAGAAGAAACCUAAUUUCUCUGUUUCAACAUUUCUUUAUAAAAAUGGCAUGGCGUGGUUCACUCUCCCGGACCUUCAUCUCCACCACAAGACCAUCAUCCUUCCGCCCUACAACCACCCUCCCCCGCCACCGUCUAGUCGUCUACCGCCUCUUUCUCCUCCCAGACUCCCUCUCGCCGUGUCUUCAACCCUAGGACUCUGGGAGAAUUGGGUUGUGCCCAAUCUUUGUUGCCGAUGUUCACCGGAGCUCGUUUGAUGUCACAUAUUGCUGUUAACAUGCACGCAUUUUGCAAGUUGUCUCAUGGGUGGAAUGGUGAAGAUGGGUGAUGUUAAGAAGUUUGAAGGAUAUGUGAUGAGAUAAGGCCCUUGAUGACUGAUUUGACUCUUCAAGGCUUGCAAAGACUGUUUUGAGCAAGCUUUAGCGAGGUUUUAUUUAUGUUGUGUUUAGCAAGUGGAAAAGUUAAUAAUGGCUGGUUUUAGUUUUUUUUUUUUUUUUUUUUCAGUUUUUAACUAUUUAUUUAUAUAUUUCUGAUUCCUGUAAUAAUAUUAUAAUAGAAAUAUCAACUUACAACUA
This is a long non-coding RNA of Helianthus annuus (common sunflower), 617 nucleotides long. RefSeq lists it as uncharacterized. NCBI's taxonomy places the organism in Eukaryota, Viridiplantae, Streptophyta, Magnoliopsida, Asterales, Asteraceae. The record is from RefSeq and is a predicted model, not a curated record. The transcript is spliced from 4 exons.